Molecule: transfer RNA, 73 nt
Filed under: Camelus bactrianus (Bactrian camel)
Lineage: Eukaryota; Metazoa; Chordata; Mammalia; Artiodactyla; Camelidae
Also listed under: 2 other names
Rfam family: tRNA
About the family: Transfer RNA (tRNA) molecules are approximately 80 nucleotides in length.
Source: Rfam by way of RNAcentral
GAGGGUAUAGCUCAAGUGGUAGAGCACAUGCUUAGCAUGCACGAGGUCCUGGGUUCAACUCCCAGUACCUCCU